RNAcentral lists this ribosomal RNA (301 nucleotides) under uncultured bacterium. RNAcentral describes it as "partial 16S ribosomal RNA". It matches the Rfam family "Bacterial small subunit ribosomal RNA", at positions 509 to 807 of the family's 1533-position model. The record is from RNAcentral.
CAGCCGCCACGGGAAUACGGAGGGUGCAAGCGUUAAUCGGAAUUACUGGGCGUAAAGCGCACGCAGGCGGUCUGACAAGUCAGAUGUGAAAUCCCCGGGCUUAACCUGGGAACUGCAUUUGAAACUGUCAGGCUGGAGUCUUGUAGAGGGGGGUAGAAUUCCAGGUGUAGCGGUGAAAUGCGUAGAGAUCUGGAGGAACACCGAUGGCGAAGGCAGCCCCCUGGGCCAACACUGACGCUCAUGCACGAAAGCGUGGGGAGCAAACAGGAUUAGAGACCCCUGUAGUCCCUGUCUCUUAUAC